Molecule: small nuclear RNA, 117 nt
Organism: Medicago truncatula (barrel medic)
Lineage: Eukaryota; Viridiplantae; Streptophyta; Magnoliopsida; Fabales; Fabaceae
Rfam family: U5 spliceosomal RNA
About the family: U5 RNA is a component of both types of known spliceosome.
Source: Rfam
AGCUGCGCGAUGAGCACAAAGCGAACUAUUCUUUCGCCUUUUACUAAAGAAUACCGUGUGAGCGUCGCUUAAAGCAGCAUACGAUAAUUUUUUAAAGGAAACCUUCAAAUGGAGGAU